RNAcentral lists this ribosomal RNA (460 nucleotides) under uncultured Petrimonas sp. RNAcentral describes it as "bacterial SSU rRNA". It matches the Rfam family "Bacterial small subunit ribosomal RNA", at positions 338 to 795 of the family's 1533-position model. Lineage: Bacteria; Pseudomonadati; Bacteroidota; Bacteroidia; Bacteroidales; Dysgonomonadaceae. The record is from RNAcentral.
CCUACGGGUGGCUGCAGUGAGGAAUAUUGGUCAAUGGAGGCAACUCUGAACCAGCCACGUCGCGUGAAGGAUGAAGGUCUUAUGGAUUGUAAACUUCUUUUGCAGGGGAAUAAAUAGCGGUACGUGUACCGUUUUGCAUGUACCCUGCGAAUAAGGAUCGGCUAACUCCGUGCCAGCAGCCGCGGUAAUACGGAGGAUCCGAGCGUUAUCCGGAUUUAUUGGGUUUAAAGGGUGCGCAGGCGGGAGAUUAAGUCGGCGGUGAAAUUUUGCAGCUCAACUGUAAAAGUGCCUUCGAUACUGGUUUCCUUGAGUGUGGAUGAAGUAGGCGGAAUUUGUGGUGUAGCGGUGAAAUGCUUAGAUAUCACGAGGAACUCCGAUUGCGCAGGCAGCUUACUAAACCACUACUGACGCUCAGGCACGAAGGCGUGGGGAUCAAACAGGAUUAGAUACCCCUGUAGUC